This 1338-nucleotide ribosomal RNA is filed under the name metagenome. Its description in RNAcentral is "bacterial LSU rRNA". It matches the Rfam family "Bacterial large subunit ribosomal RNA", at positions 1606 to 2925 of the family's 2925-position model. The record is from RNAcentral.
UGCCAAGAAAAGCCUCUAGCGAGCUUCGAGCGGCCCGUACCCCAAACCGACACAGGUGGUCAGGUAGAGAAUACCGAGGCGAUCGGGCGAACUGUGGUUAAGGAACUCGGCAAAUUACCCCCGUAACUUCGGGAGAAGGGGGGCCACAGACUGUCAUACCCCACGCGGGUGGCAGCAGUAGGUGGCCGCAGAGACCAGGGGGAAGCGACUGUUUACUAAAAACACAGGUCCGUGCGAAGUCGUAAGACGAUGUAUACGGACUGACGCCUGCCCGGUGCUGGAACGUUAAGGGGACCGGUUAGUCCGCAAGGGCGAAGCUGAGAACUUAAGCGCCAGUAAACGGCGGUGGUAACUAUAACCAUCCUAAGGUAGCGAAAUUCCUUGUCGGGUAAGUUCCGACCUGCACGAAUGGCGUAACGACUUCCCUACUGUCUCAACCACAGGCCCGGCGAAAUUGCACUACGAGUAAAGAUGCUCGUUACGCGCGGAAGGACGGAAAGACCCCGGGACCUUCACUAUAGCUUGACAUUGGUAUCCGAAUUUAAUUGUGUAGGAUAGGUGGGAGGCUUUGAUCCGCGGACGCCAGUCCGUCGGGGAGCCAACGUUGAAAUACCACUCUGUUGACUUUGGGUAUCUAACUUCGGACCGUGAUCCGGUUCAGGGACAGUGUCUGGUGGGUAGUUUAACUGGGGCGGUUGCCUCCUAAAAUGUAACGGAGGCGCCCAAAGGUUCCCUCAGCCUGGUUGGCAAUCAGGUGUUGAGUGCAAGUGCACAAGGGAGCUUGACUGUGAGACUGACAGGUCGAGCAGGGACGAAAGUCGGGACUAGUGAUCCGGCACCUGCGAGUGGAAGCGGUGUCGCUCAACGGAUAAAAGGUACCCCGGGGAUAACAGGCUGAUCUUCCCCAAGAGUCCAUAUCGACGGGAUGGUUUGGCACCUCGAUGUCGGCUCGUCGCAUCCUGGGGCUGGAGUAGGUCCCAAGGGUUGGGCUGUUCGCCCAUUAAAGCGGCACGCGAGCUGGGUUUAGAACGUCGUGAGACAGUUCGGUCCCUAUCCUCCGCGCGCGUAGGAGACUUGAGAAGAGCUGUCCCUAGUACGAGAGGACCGGGACGGACGAACCUCUGGUGUGCCAGUUGUCAUGCCAAUGGCACGGCUGGUUAGCUACGUUCGGAAGGGAUAACCGCUGAAAGCAUCUAAGCGGGAAGCUCGCUUCAAGAUGAGGUCUCCCACCCCUUAGAGGGUUAAGGCCCCCAGCUAGACCACUGGGUUGAUAGGCCAGAAGUGUAAGCCUGGUAACAGGUUCAGCCGACUGGUACUAAUAGGCCGAGGACUUAAAGA